This 852-nucleotide ribosomal RNA is filed under the name uncultured bacterium. RNAcentral describes it as "bacterial SSU rRNA". It matches the Rfam family "Bacterial small subunit ribosomal RNA", at positions 66 to 914 of the family's 1533-position model. The record is from RNAcentral.
GCAGCAUGAACUUAGCUUGCUAAGUUUGAUGGCGACCGGCGCACGGGUGAGUAACACGUAUCCAACCUGCCGAUGACUCGGGGAUAGCCUUUCGAAAGAAAGAUUAAUACCCGAUGGCAUAGUUCUUCCGCAUGGUAGAACUAUUAAAGAAUUUCGGUCAUCGAUGGGGAUGCGUUCCAUUAGGUUGUUGGCGGGGUAACGGCCCACCAAGCCUUCGAUGGAUAGGGGUUCUGAGAGGAAGGUCCCCCACAUUGGAACUGAGACACGGUCCAAACUCCUACGGGAGGCAGCAGUGAGGAAUAUUGGUCAAUGGACGAGAGUCUGAACCAGCCAAGUAGCGUGAAGGAUGACUGCCCUAUGGGUUGUAAACUUCUUUUAUACGGGAAUAAAGUGAGGCACGCGUGCCUUUUUGUAUGUACCGUAUGAAUAAGGAUCGGCUAACUCCGUGCCAGCAGCCGCGGUAAUACGGAGGAUCCGAGCGUUAUCCGGAUUUAUUGGGUUUAAAGGGAGCGUAGGCGGACGCUUAAGUCAGUUGUGAAAGUUUGCGGCUCAACCGUAAAGUUGCAGUUGAUACUGGGUGUCUUGAGUACAGUAGAGGCAGGCGGAAUUCGUGGUGUAGCGGUGAAAUGCUUAGAUAUCACGAAGAACUCCGAUUGCGAAGGCAGCCUGCUGGACUGUAACUGACGCUGAUGCUCGAAAGUGUGGGUAUCAAACAGGAUUAGAUACCCUGGUAGUCCACACAGUAAACGAUGAAUACUCGCUGUUUGCGAUAUACAGUAAGCGGCCAAGCGAAAGCGUUAAGUAUUCCACCUGGGGAGUACGCCGGCAACGGUGAAACUCAAAGGAAUUGAC